This 495-nucleotide ribosomal RNA is filed under the name uncultured bacterium. RNAcentral describes it as "partial 16S ribosomal RNA". It matches the Rfam family "Bacterial small subunit ribosomal RNA", at positions 28 to 507 of the family's 1533-position model. The record is from RNAcentral.
GACGAACGCUGGCGGCGUGCCUAAUACAUGCAAGUAGAACGCUGAGUGAUGAGCUUGCUGCCCCGGAUGAGUUGCGAACGGGUGAGUAACGCGUAGGUAACCUGCCUGGUACCGGGGGAGAACUAUUGUAAACCAUAGCUAAUACCGCAUAAGAGUAGAUGUUGCAUGACAUUUGCUUAAAAGUUGCAAUUUCAUCACUACCACAUGGACCUGCGUUGGAUUCGCUAGUUGGUCGGGUAACGGCUUACCAAGGCGACGAUGCAUAGCCGACCCGAGAGGGUGAUCAGCCACACGUGGACUGAGACGAGGCCCCGAAUUCUGACGGAGGCACCAGUAGGGCAUCUUCGGGAAUAGGCGGAAGUCUGACCGAGCAACGGCGCGUGAGUGAAACAGGUUUUCGGAUCGUGAAGGUAUGUUGUCAGAGAAGAACGAGUGUGAGAGUGGAAAGUACACACAGUGACGGUAUCUGACCAGAAAGCGACGGCUAACUACGUG